GUCUACAGCCACACCACCCUGAACGCACCCGAUCUCAUCUGAUCUAGGAAGCUAAGCAGGGUCGGGCCUGGUUAGGACUUGGAUGGGAGAGAAGGGGCCCUGGCUGCCACC
Molecule: ribosomal RNA, 111 nt
Filed under: Octodon degus (degu)
Lineage: Eukaryota; Metazoa; Chordata; Mammalia; Rodentia; Octodontidae
Source: RNAcentral